Canis lupus familiaris (dog) is the source of this 4016-nucleotide long non-coding RNA. RefSeq lists it as uncharacterized. Lineage: Eukaryota; Metazoa; Chordata; Mammalia; Carnivora; Canidae. The transcript is spliced from 3 exons. The record is from RefSeq and is a predicted model, not a curated record.
UAAAGGGAGAAGCAGGUUUCCUGUGGGGAGCCUGAUUCAGGACUUGAUCCCAGGACCCCAGGAUCAUGCCCUGAGCCAAAGGCAGACGCUCAACUACUGAGCCACCCAGGUGCCCUCAUUGGUUGACUUUAAAUAAAGAUUAUCUCUGGUAAUCUGGGUGUGCUUGGCCCAAUCAAGUGAAUGGCCUUAAGAAUAAAAUUGAGGUCUUCUAGAGGAAGACAAAAUUCUGCCUCAAGUCUACAGCAUCUACUCCUGCUCAAGACUGUUCAAUCUGCUGGCCUGACCUAAAAUUUAAGAUUUUCCCAGCCAGACUCUGCAAUCACAUAAGCCAAUUCCCUGAAAUAAUUCUCCUUUUAUCUAUCUAUCUAUCUAUCUAUCUAUCUAUCUAUCUAUCUAUCAUCUAUCUAUCUAUCUGUCAUCUUACUGUUUCUACUUCUCUGGAGAAGCCAAACUAAUUAUCCCUUGCAAAAUUGAGAAAGGCAUCACCUGGAUUCACUGGACACUUGAUAUAUAAAAUUCUUAAAAGACUUAUUUUUAAUUUUUUUCAAUAGACUAUAAGUGAAGAGAUCCUACCUUAUUUGUCUUAGUAUCCCCUAAAAGUGUCUGCUAGAUCAUAUUCUCUAAAUAUUUGCAGGGAUGGCAUAACAAGCAUGGAUUUUGUGGCUAUUAGUCCAUGAAGUCAGGGGUGAAAGAAGUAUCACAUUUUCUUUCCAUCUGCCUCCCAGCACUCCCAGUGCUAGAAUGCAGAAUUGUUUUUUAGAAUAUUUUUUCUCAUUCAUAACUGGAGUUUUCUCCUUUUCAGAGUUGUGCAGGAAUCCCUGGGUUUUAAGGAGCCCCAGACUAUUGGGAGGAACCCUCAAGUCAUUUGUCACAGGUCAUUAGCUCGGGCAAAUAUUCUUUCUUCCAUGCCUGUAUUCCAAUGCACAUGGCCCCAUGGGUGCUGCUGGUUUUGUGCCAUGUUUGGGGCUGGCCCUGUGCCUGGGCUCCAGCCUCACUGGUGAACCCCACAGCCUCCCUUCUCAAAGGGCUAUCCAUCCCCAUCACUGUGUUUCACCCCCCCCCCCCAGUAAGAUCCAUUGCUUUUUAUCUCUUAACUGUCUAGAAAGAGCAUCUUUCUCCUUUUGAUCAGUUAAGAUAACCCCUCUCUUUCUUUCUGUGGAAUAAGGAGACAUCUUUUCUAUGUGGUUAGGCUUUUAAGAGAGUCAGAAGAGCUGCCAAUUUUAAGUAGCUCCCUGCAAAAAUCCCUCAAAGCAAAAAACCUCAAAGGGCCCAGGAAAUCAAACACAACUUGUUUAACCAACUAUUCUCACAUAAUUAUCUGUCCAUCUGUCCACUAAAAUGUAACUUUCUAGAAUACUAGCUGUAGAGAAAUGGCAAUGAGAUCAAAUGAAUGUUUUUGUUCAUUUAUUCGCUCAUAUUUUCUAAAUGUUUUAUAAUAACAUGAUAACUUUCAUAAAUUGAGAGACUCUUAUUAAGCCAGAAGACCAUGACAUGGCCAAAGGGUUUCUAAAGUCAGAAAAAAGACUCAGGAUCAAAUUCUAGCUUUGCAAUUUGCUUGCUCUAUGACUCCCAAACCUCAAUCAAACUUUUGUUUUCUGAACCAAAUAAGCCAAUGCAUGUAAAGUUCUUGGUAGAUGCUAGUAUCUACUUCUUUAAGACAGUAUCAGAGCUCUUAUCCAUGCAAGAUUGUAUCAUCAGUAAAGGCCUGGUUCUUGUAGGAAGACAAACUAAAAGUUAUUUGUUGAAUUAAUAACUGAAUGAGGACCACAGGACCUCCUGUGUGAAUAUUUAUGCAUAUUUCUUUUAAACACUCUCAUUCUUCUUGAAUUGUGUGACAAACUACAUGGAGAGACUUGAAGAAGCUAGUAGGAUUUUCUCAUACGACAUGUCAUGAGCCCAACAAUACACACAUUUUAUCUCUAUAAUUCUGAGUCCAUGGAAAAAUUACAUCUAAACCAUGUACUUAUGAUUUGACAUCUGUACCAGUGAGAGAUGAAGAUGUCUGACCACAACCUAAAACAAAACACCACCUGAUAGUCCAAAGCACUGCCUGAGUGGCACAUUCAGCCUAGCAUAAGCACAUACUCUGCUUUACAUAUCUUGAAGAUGUGUGUCUUAUUUAUUGUGUAUUGAAUAUUAUUUAUCUAUUGCUGCACACACAGUUACCACAAUCUUACCAAAUUAUGACGACCUGCAUUUAUUACCUCACCAUCUCUGUGGGUUGGGAAUCUGGACAUGGUUCAAGGUAUCACAGGAUUGUAGUGAUGGUGUUGGCCAGACAUGGCUACUGGAGAAGGUGUUGGCCAGAGCUCAGAUACCUUUUGAGGCUCUCCUAUAAAAAGAUCCACCCUCAAGCUCAUUAUGAGAAGGAUUCAGUUUCUUGCUCACUGCUGUUGGCUGGAGGCUGCCCUCAGUUUCUCACCUGAUAGACCUCUCCAUAAGAAGUCUUAUUCCAUGAAAACCCACAAGGAAAAGAGUUAAUAGUCUGUAAGCAGGGUGGACGUUUCAAUCCUAUGUAGUGUUACUGGAGAGUUAACAUCUUAUCACAUGCCCUGUACUCUAUCGGUUAGAAACAAGCCACAGAUCCUGUCCAUACUUAAGGGGUGAGGAUUACACAAGGGCAUGCAUGCCAUAAGGUGGGAUCAUUGAAAACUGUCUAAGAAUCUAUCAGCCACAGUACCCAAAGGGAUGGAUCUGAAAUUCACCUGUCAUGGUCAAAAAGAGUUCAUAAGAAUUUGUACUCUGAUCACAACCAAGUCAUCAGGAUAUGGGACAAGAAACACUGCAAGUCCCCAGCGGGGGAUGAGGAGGAGCAGAGCCUGCAGACAGCCGCAAUAAGUGCAGCAGAGAUCAGAAAUCAACUUGCGUUGCUCUGGGAUGCUGAGAUUUGGGGGUUUGACAUAACUCAAUUAAUCAAGACUUCACGGAAGAAAGAAAAAUAAUUCUACCCAUACGGCGGUCUUCUUAUAUUCCCAGAAUCGAAGUUCCUUAUUUUUUUUUCCUGGUGCCUAAGAGGAAUGCAGGCCCCCUAAAUAAGUCUUCUGUGUGGGACAAAAGACUGAAAAACUGUGGCAUAAAAGCAUUUCUUUGUUUAAUUUUUAAUUGUUGUCCCUCUCUUAUUCAGAAAAUGAAGUCACCUUUGUGGUGGUUUCAUGAACCGCUGGGUAAUCAAAAUUAUUAUGCCGCCACCUGUUGUCUGUUAAUUAUUCUGAGAAGAUACUCAUAAAUCAUAACACCGGACAAUAAAUCAAACUGUCAGUUCGCAGGUCAAAGGUGACCCAUGAAAAGUUAUAGGUCACCCACAGGGUGUGAAAGAGCAGGGUUUUAGAGCAUCACUCAUUGUCAAGCACUGUUGGGAGAAGUGCCAUCGGAACAAAAGGAGAACUGGAGUACAGAAGAAUUCCACUCAGGGGCUGGGCUCUGGCUGCCAGCAUCAGUAGAGUCAAACCUACAUUCCGCUUGGAAUGACCCGCAAGGAUCCCACCAUGGCUUAGCUCAGACUUGCUGUCCCUUUGGAACCUUGUCACAAGGAGUGUCCCUUUUGGUAAAGUCUGAAGAGCUAUGGGCUUCGAACAUCAUCUUCUCUUUCUCCCAUGUCCUGAAGAAUGCACUGGAGAAGUUGUUGUCUUGCUUCAUUAUUCAUCAAGACAAUCACAAUAUGUCAAACUGCCGUUGAUUGGAGGAUGCUUCAGAAUGUCUUACUACCUAAAUUAAUUUGGUUUGGAAUAUGUUUUCCUUUUGGUGUGACAAGAACUUGAACUGCAUUUAACAUUUUCAACUCAUUUAUUUCCGGUCCCCUGUAUUUAAAAUAACAUAAUCGCUGGAAACCAGCGUGUGUUGAUAGAUAUCCUUGAUUUAAAACCUGGCUAGGGGUAAAUUAUUUCUGAUGUGGUGGAAGCAACUUUAGGAUGAGGCAUAAUAAAGACAUAAUGAUAAGGCAGCUGGGACACAGAACUAAUGUUCCAGUUGAGAGAUGUACUGCCUGCUGUUUGAAUUAAAUUCUGUAAAAUGGACAA